Molecule: long non-coding RNA, 2210 nt
Filed under: Sus scrofa (pig)
Lineage: Eukaryota; Metazoa; Chordata; Mammalia; Artiodactyla; Suidae
Description: lncRNA (ENSSSCG00060060141.1)
Source: RNAcentral
GCAGUAAUAAAAAAAAGUAAUUAAUUAAUUAAUAAAAAAAAAAAAGAAAACCAGACAAGGGAAUACUUAGACCAGUCAAAACAUAGUUUAAAACAGACUCUAGCGGAGUUCCCGUCGUGGUGCAGUGGUUAACGAAUCUGACUAGGAACCAUGAGGUUGCGGGUUGGGCCCCUGGCCUUGCUCAGUGGGUUAAGGGUCCAGCAUUGCCAUGAGCUGUGGUGUAGGUUGCAGAUGUGGCUCGGAUCCCGCAUUGCUGUGGCUCUGGUGUAGGCCGGUGGCUAUGGCUCCAGUUGGACCCCUAGCCUGGGAAUCUCCAUUUGCCAUGGAAGCAGCCCUAGAAAAGGCAAAAAGACAAAAAACAAACAAACAAAAAAAUAAUUGUAAAUAUAGAUGUACCCAGCAUGGGAGACCUGUAUACAUAGUGCAACAAAUAUUAACAGACACAAAGGGAGAAACAGUCGGUCACAAUAUUAGUGGGGAAUUUAACACCUAACUUAUAUCAAUUGACAGAUCAUCCAGACAGAAAAUCAACCCAGAAACUUCAGGCCUGUCUAUCCACUGCCCUUUACAUAGAUAUAUAUACACACACAUAUACAUACAUACAUAUAUAUACGACAUUGUAUCCCAAAGUAGCUUAAUAACAUUUUCAAGUACACAUGUAACAAUCUCCAGGGUAGACCACAGAGGCCCAAGUCAAUCCAUGAUAAGUUUAGGAAAACUGAAAUCACAGUCAAGCAUCUUUUCCAAUCGCAACACUAUGAGAUUAGUCAAUGAUUAUGCAAUGUGCAGACAGCCAUGACAGCUGCCCCCUCCCCACCUCAGUUAUCUGAUGGGAUGACCUCCCUUCCCCUCCCCACGAGGGCAGAGGCGGGGGCCCCUCAGAGGGAAGAGGACACUGGUAGACAGUCCUUUGAGUUAAUCAGCUUCUUCCUCUAAAAAUGCAAACACUCCUCGGACAAGGGACCCUCCUGGGAACCAGGCAUCACUCUGCUGUGCAAGAGACAGGGAAGAGGGCCUGGGGACCAUCUGCACACCACACAGGCUGCAAAGAGCUCAUGCUCUCGGCUCAGGGUUCUUAAACUUCACUCUGCCUUCCCAAAAGGACUGACCCUCUGAGCAAAUAUGUAAGCACAUUUAUUCAUUUUCAAAAUCAGUCCUCCUGGUCGCCUCAGAAUGAGCUGCACAAUAUAAACUGAAAGCAGUUCAGUCCCUCAGAAAAUGAAACAUAAGAUCAAUGAGGUGGUUUAAGCACACGGGGUAGGAGAAGGAGCCUUUGGAGACGACACGGUGUUCACUGAGCCUUAGACAAAGCUGUGUCCAUUCUGCUUACCCGAGGGAGGCCAUCCUUGCCCACUGCCCCCAAGUGCUCCUAGAUGAUGGCACCAGGGCUAGGACUCCUCGCUGGGAGGCAGCGUGGUGCAAGGGGCCUGGCCCAGGACAGGACUCCAUGAGCAAGUCUGUUCACCUUCCUUCUUGGACUGGUCAUUACCCACUACCUCACUUUUUAAGGAGAAGUCCCCUCAGGAGAACUGUGCUGAGCACAGAAUUAAGUCAGAUAAUGAAGGAAAGGAACAAAAUAAGCCAGUUAGAUGAACAAGGUGAAAGAGCUGGAGACUGAGGAAACUGGAGACUAGGUUCUCUGCAUGCCUGGUGAGACCUGUAGAAUGUGGGGAAAUGUAGCCCUGUUCUUGGAUUAACUGUCGCCUUCUUAAUAAAUACCUUUGCAGCACAUGAUCCUUUAUUAUUGAAAAGACCCUGAAACAUAUUUCAGGAAAAGGGAAAAAAAUCACCUAUACUCCGUCAUCUCACCACCAUCCAUUUUGAAACGCUGCUCUUUGAAACCUGGAGCUGGCCAGGUACUGGGGCAACUCAAGCACAGCAUGAGAACAAGUUUAGCAGCCAAAUGGUAACAGGACUGGAGCAGCCCCAGGAUUUUGACAGUGUCUCAGCUUCGUCCCGGUCGGCACUGGUCAGACCAUGUCCACAACUGUGGUGUCUAGAAAAAGGACUGUGUCCUGGGCCAGAGAAGGAACGUGAGAGGUGACUAAGACCUUGGAAAGGAAGCCCAGGAAGGAGGUGAGGUUUAAUCUGCCUGCUUUUGUUUAGGAAACAUAAGGAAUUAAAUCUGACUUUAAGCCAGUGUUUCGGGCUCAACAAAGGUGAUCAGCUGUUGGCUAGAACAGGAACUUGACCAGAGCCAGAGUGAUGGG